GAAGGACACCAUAUGACUUAUAUUGAAUGUAUAAAUGCUGACUACAAAUCAACAAGAAAGGAGUCUUUUUAUGAUCUUCAGCUUGAUGUCAAAGGUUGCCGAGAUGUGUAUGCCUCAUUUGACAAGUAUGUUGAAGUAGAAAGGCUUGAAGGUGACAACAAAUAUCAUGCUGAACAACAUGGGUUACAGGUUGGAUGCUGAACAACAUGUGUUAUAAAUAUCGGAGCUUUCAAAUUUAUAUCUGGUGCAGAAAUGGAGACCACCAGCAAGGUCGCAGUGAGCCAGUGGCUCAGCUCGGACUAUCUGGUUCCGUGGAAGUGUCAAACUGAACAAUUGAGAAAACCAAGUCAAAUCUGGUCAACCGGGUUCCGUACACUCACUGAGAGCUACAAGCACCGACUCUUGCUUUGAUUAAUCAAAAUGACGCCUUAGAUGAUGAUAAAGAUGAGCCUCUGAAUGAAAAUGAUGAUGUGCACCAAGGUGAGGAACUAAAUACUCGACAUUUGGUUCUCAACUGACAGACUACACAAAGUUGACCAAAACCUCAGCACUCAUGUUG
Helianthus annuus (common sunflower) is the source of this 559-nucleotide long non-coding RNA. RefSeq lists it as uncharacterized. NCBI's taxonomy places the organism in Eukaryota, Viridiplantae, Streptophyta, Magnoliopsida, Asterales, Asteraceae. The transcript has 3 exons. The record is from RefSeq and is a predicted model, not a curated record.